RNAcentral lists this ribosomal RNA (101 nucleotides) under uncultured bacterium. RNAcentral describes it as "partial 16S ribosomal RNA". The record is from RNAcentral.
UGAGCAAUCUGCCCUUCUCAUCGGAAUAAGCGUUGGAAACGACGUCUAAUGCCGAAUACGACCUCCUUUCACAUGAUCGGAGGUGGAAAGCUCCGGCGAGA